This 1160-nucleotide long non-coding RNA is filed under the name Scleropages formosus (Asian bonytongue). Its description in RNAcentral is "lncRNA (ENSSFOG00015026451.1)". The record is from RNAcentral. Lineage: Eukaryota; Metazoa; Chordata; Actinopteri; Osteoglossiformes; Osteoglossidae.
ACCCCAGGCCCACCGGAAAGCAGGACCCAGUCAAACCCACUGCGCCACCAAGUCCCCCCCUCCAUAAACCGUGGACUGAAGGGCUGUCCUUCCUGUGAGGAGGUGGUGAAAGUGCAUCAGUGUGAAGGACAGAAAGCCACAGCAUCCGGUCUCAAAGAACAUCCCCUGCAGCUGCUGGUGAAUCCCUCCAUACGAACACACACUACCACCGCCCACAGCAGGUCCUUCCCCACUUCAGCAGUUCACUUCCCCGAACGAUUUUUUAAUGGUAUGUACACAAAAGUCUUCAGGCUGGCACUAAUGAGCAUAAGAAAUUUUCAAAUGGCUAUAACCGCUUGUUUAAAAAUCGUUAAUUCUGAACAUUUUUGCCAGUUAUUGCUGUGGGGGGGAAUAUGGGAGCACAGCGGGAUUGGCCAGUGCCUGCUGUAUGCUGAGUCUUGUGUGGGGUGCCCUCUGAUGGCCCGGUGUCUCGUCCAGCGUGUUUCCCCUUCUCCUUCAGCCUUGCACCCUGUCUCUCCGGGAUAGGCUCCGGCUUGCUGCGACCCUGCUCGGGACAAGCGGUUGUUGACGUGGGUUGGUUGCUGUAGCGGUACUGUUAUCUGACAAUAGUUUAAAAUUGUUCAAGAAAACAUGAGCCUCAGCUUGGAAUGAUUUAAUGAAAAUCUCUUAUGCCCAUUGUCACAUGCUUUUGUCGUAACAGUAAGGCUUGUGGGCCAAGAGGUGUGGAGGCCAGAGCUGUGGUGCCCCUCAGCAAGUUAAUUAGGUUAAAAAGUAACUCAGGUUACUAUAAAAGCAACAAGUUUAAAGAUUAAACUUCGGACUGAGGAAAGGACUUUAUCGGUUCUUUCUGAGAAUCCUGGGAAGGGAGAAUAUAUAGUGGUGCUUGAAAGUUUGUGAACCCUUCAAAGUUUUAUCGGUUUCUGUAUACAUACGACCUAAAAUGUGAUCAGAUUUUCCCACAAAUCCUAAAAGUAGAUAAAAAGAACCCAAUUAAACAAAUGAGACAAAAACUGUAUACUUGUUCGUUUAUUUGUUGAGCAAAAUGAUCCAAUGUUACAUAUCUGUGUCGCAAAGGUAUGUGAACCUUUGCUUUCAGUAACUGGUGUCACCCCCUUCUACAGCAAUAAUUGCAAAUAAACGUUUCCGAUAACUGUUGAUCA